AUUGAACGCUGGCGGCAUGCCUUACACAUGCAAGUCGAACGGUAACAGGUCUUCGGGUGCCGACGAGUGGCGAACGGGUGAGUAAUGCAUCGGAACGUACCUUUCAGUGGGGGGAUAACGUAGCGAAAGUUACGCUAAUACCGCAUAUUCUGUGAGCAGGAAAGCAGGGGAUCGCAAGACCUUGCGCUGAUUGAGCGGCCGAUGUCAGAUUAGCUAGUUGGUGAGGUAAAGGCUCACCAAGGCGACGAUCUGUAGCGGGUCUGAGAGGAUGAUCCGCCACACUGGAACUGAGACACGGUCCAGACUCCUACGGGAGGCAGCAGUGGGGAAUUUUGGACAAUGGGGGCAACCCUGAUCCAGCCAUGCCGCGUGAGUGAAGAAGGCCUUCGGGUUGUAAAGCUCUUCGGCCGGGAAAAAUCGCAUCAGUUAAUACCUAGGUGUGGAUGAGUGGUACCGGAAUAAGAAGCACCGGCUAACUACGU
Molecule: ribosomal RNA, 482 nt
Filed under: uncultured bacterium
Lineage: Bacteria
Description: bacterial SSU rRNA
Rfam family: Bacterial small subunit ribosomal RNA
Source: RNAcentral